CAGCCGCCACGGUAAAACGUAGGUGGCAAGCGUUGUCCGGAAUUAUUGGGCGUAAAGGGCUCGCAGGCGGUUUCUUAAGUCUGAUGUGAAAGCCCCCGGCUCAACCGGGGAGGGUCAUUGGAAACUGGGAAACUUGAGUGCAGAAGAGGAGAGUGGAAUUCCACGUGUAGCGGUGAGAUGCGUAGAGAUGUGGAGGAACACCAGUGGCGAAGGCGACUCUCUGGUCUGUAACUGACGCUGAGGAGCGAAAGCGUGGGGAGCGAACAGGAUUAGAUACCCCUGUAGUCCCUGUCUCUUAUAC
This 301-nucleotide ribosomal RNA is filed under the name uncultured bacterium. RNAcentral describes it as "partial 16S ribosomal RNA". It matches the Rfam family "Bacterial small subunit ribosomal RNA", at positions 509 to 807 of the family's 1533-position model. The record is from RNAcentral.